UGGCGGCGUGCUUAACACAUGCAAGUCGAACGAUGAACCUGGAGCUUGCUCUAGGGAAUUAGUGGCGAACGGGUGAGUAACACGUGAGUAACCUGCCCUUGACUCUGGGAUAACCUCCGGAAACGGAAGCUAAUACCGGAUAUGACGCACGGAGGCAUCUCCUGUGCGUGGAAAGAAUUUCGGUCAAGGAUGGACUCGCGGCCUAUCAGGUAGUUGGUGAGGUAACGGCUCACCAAGCCUACGACGGGUAGCCGGCCUGAGAGGGUGACCGGCCACACUGGGACUGAGACACGGCCCAGACUCCUACGGGAGGCAGCAGUGGGGAAUAUUGCACAAUGGGCGCAAGCCUGAUGCAGCAACGCCGCGUGAGGGAUGACGGCCUUCGGGUUGUAAACCUCUUUUAGUAGGGAAGAAGCGAAAGUGACGGUACCUGCAGAAAAAGCACCGGCUAACUACGUGCCAGCAGCCGCGGUAAUACGUAGGGUGCGAGCGUUGUCCGGAAUUAUUGGGCGUAAAGAGCUCGUAGGCGGUCUGUCGCGUCUGCUGUGAAAACCCGAGGCUCAACCUCGGGCCUGCAGUGGGUACGGGCAGACUAGAGUGCGGUAGGGGAGAAUGGAAUUCCUGGUGUAGCGGUGGAAUGCGCAGAUAUCAGGAGGAACACCGAUGGCGAAGGCAGUUCUCUGGGCCGUAACUGACGCUGAGGAGCGAAAGCGUGGGGAGCGAACAGGAUUAGAUACCCUGGUAGUCCACGCCGUAAACGUUGGGCGCUAGAUGUGGGGACCAUUCCACGGUUUCCGUGUCGCAGCUAACGCA
RNAcentral lists this ribosomal RNA (813 nucleotides) under Cryocola sp. Its description in RNAcentral is "bacterial SSU rRNA". It matches the Rfam family "Bacterial small subunit ribosomal RNA", at positions 37 to 859 of the family's 1533-position model. Lineage: Bacteria; Bacillati; Actinomycetota; Actinomycetes; Micrococcales; Microbacteriaceae. The record is from RNAcentral.